GACGGAGGGUGCAAACGUUGUUCGGAUUUACUGGGCGUAAAGCGCGUGUAGGCGGCUUUGCAAGUCGGAUGUGAAAGCCCACGGCUCAACCGUGGAAGUGCAUCCGAAACUGCAUGGCUGGAGUCUCGGAGAGGAAGGUGGAAUGCUUGGUGUAGAGGUGAAAUUCGUAGAUAUCAAGCAGAACACCUGCGGCGAAGGCGGCCUUCUGGACGAUGACUGACGCUGAGACGCGAAAGCGUGGGGAGCAAACAGG
RNAcentral lists this ribosomal RNA (253 nucleotides) under uncultured bacterium. RNAcentral's name for it is "partial 16S ribosomal RNA". It matches the Rfam family "Bacterial small subunit ribosomal RNA", at positions 524 to 776 of the family's 1533-position model. The record is from RNAcentral.